This 166-nucleotide ribosomal RNA is filed under the name Peribacillus simplex. RNAcentral's name for it is "partial 23S ribosomal RNA". It matches the Rfam family "Bacterial large subunit ribosomal RNA", at positions 2759 to 2925 of the family's 2925-position model. Lineage: Bacteria; Bacillati; Bacillota; Bacilli; Caryophanales; Bacillaceae. The record is from RNAcentral.
CGGGAUAAGUGCUGAAAGCAUCUAAGCAUGAAGCCCCCCUCAAGAUGAGAUUUCCCAUGGCGCAAGCUAGUAAGAUCCCUGAAAGAUGAUUAGGUUGAUAGGUCAGAGGUGGAAGCAUGGUGACAUGUGGAGCUGACUGAUACUAAUAGAUCGAGGACUUAACCAA